This 315-nucleotide ribosomal RNA is filed under the name uncultured eukaryote. RNAcentral's name for it is "partial 18S ribosomal RNA". It matches the Rfam family "Eukaryotic small subunit ribosomal RNA", at positions 1470 to 1796 of the family's 1831-position model. The record is from RNAcentral.
CCCUUAGACGUUCUGGGCCGCACGCGCGCUACACUGACCAGUGCAACAAGCAUCCGUCCUUGGCCGGCAGGCUCGGGCAAUCUUUGAACGCUGGUCGUGAUGGGGAUAGACUUUUGCAAUUUUUGGUCUUCAACGAGGAAUUCCUAGUAAACGCAAGUCAUCAACUUGCAUUGAUUACGUCCCUGCCCUUUGUACACACCGCCCGUCGCACCUACCGAUUGAAUGGUCCGGUGAAGCCUCCGGAUUGGCGCGCACCUCGGUGCCGCCGAGAAGUUGGCUAAACCUUACCAUUUAGAGGAAGGUGAAGUCGUAACA